UAGAGGCGUGCUCGAAAGAGAGCCGUAACACAGGUGCUGCAUGGCUGUCGUCAGCUCGUGUCGUGAGAUGUUGGGUUAAGUCCCGCAACGAGCGCAACCCUUGUCAUUAGUUGCUACAUUCAGUUGGGCACUCUAAUGAGACUGCCGGUGACAAGCCGGAGGAAGGUGGGGAUGACGUCAAGUCCUCAUGGCCCUUAUAGGUGGGGCUACACACGUCAUACAAUGGCUGGUACAAAGGGUUGCCAACCCGCGAGGGGGAGCUAAUCCCAUAAAGCCAGUCGUAGUCCGGAUCGUAGUCUGCAACUCGACUACGUGAAGUCGGAAUCGCUAGUAAUCGUGGAUCAGAAUGUCACGGUGAAUACGUUCCCGGGUCUU
Molecule: ribosomal RNA, 375 nt
Filed under: uncultured Rhodoferax sp.
Lineage: Bacteria; Pseudomonadati; Pseudomonadota; Betaproteobacteria; Burkholderiales; Comamonadaceae
Description: bacterial SSU rRNA
Rfam family: Bacterial small subunit ribosomal RNA
Source: RNAcentral